AGAGUUUGAUCCUGGCUCAGAUUGAACGCUGGCGGCAGGCCUAACACAUGCAAGUCGAGCGGUAGCACAGAGAGCUUGCUCUCGGGUGACGAGCGGCGGACGGGUGAGUAAUGUCUGGGAAACUGCCUGAUGGAGGGGGAUAACUACUGGAAACGGUAGCUAAUACCGCAUAACGUCGCAAGACCAAAGUGGGGGACCUUCGGGCCUCAUGCCAUCAGAUGUGCCCAGAUGGGAUUAGCUAGUAGGUGGGGUAAUGGCUCACCUAGGCGACGAUCCCUAGCUGGUCUGAGAGGAUGACCAGCCACACUGGAACUGAGACACGGUCCAGACUCCUACGGGAGGCAGCAGUGGGGAAUAUUGCACAAUGGGCGCAAGCCUGAUGCAGCCAUGCCGCGUGUGUGAAGAAGGCCUUCGGGUUGUAAAGCACUUUCAGCGGGGAGGAAGGCGAUAAGGUUAAUAACCUUGUCGAUUGACGUUACCCGCAGAAGAAGCACCGGCUAACUCCGUGCCAGCAGCCGCGGU
This 522-nucleotide ribosomal RNA is filed under the name uncultured bacterium. RNAcentral describes it as "bacterial SSU rRNA". It matches the Rfam family "Bacterial small subunit ribosomal RNA", at positions 8 to 521 of the family's 1533-position model. The record is from RNAcentral.